Molecule: long non-coding RNA, 370 nt
Organism: Cyprinodon variegatus (sheepshead minnow)
Lineage: Eukaryota; Metazoa; Chordata; Actinopteri; Cyprinodontiformes; Cyprinodontidae
Exons: 3
Source: RefSeq, a predicted model, not a curated record
CCUGGCUCUAUAAAAGCGCAACCCCUGAAUCUCAGAAUCAUUACAGCUGAUCGAUCUCUGAGGACCAAACGAGAAACCAGCUAACCCACCUACAAAUCAAACAACAUGGAUCCCUGCGACUGCUCCAAGACUGGAAAAUGCAACUGCGGAGGCUCUUGUACCUGCACCAACUGCUCCUGCAAAUGCUGCAAGAAGAGCUGCUGUUCAUGCUGCCCAUCAGGCUGCAGUAAAUGCGCCUCUGGAUGCGUGUGCAAAGGAAAUUCCUGUGACAAGAGCUGCUGUCAGUGAGGAGCCAAACCCAUCAACCCCUUAUUUCCUGUGCUGAGGAGCCUUUCUAAAAUCUGCCAUAUUCCAGAUUUGUAGGGAAUGC